Molecule: long non-coding RNA, 1081 nt
Organism: Aphis gossypii (cotton aphid)
Lineage: Eukaryota; Metazoa; Arthropoda; Insecta; Hemiptera; Aphididae
Exons: 6
Source: RefSeq, a predicted model, not a curated record
UUUUAUUUUGAUAAUUUGAUUUUUUGUCAUGAACACGAUUAAGGAUAUAUCUUAAAUCAGUUAUCGUGGUCAUGAAGACUACAUGAGUUACGAACUUUACGAGUGAUGGGGGCGAUGGAGCUUAGGACGCUUACUAAUUUGUGACCAUAUUAAAUCCAAAUUUCAAAACUCCAAGUUGUUCAGCGAUUGCGUAGAAAAAACAAAACAAUUAGUACUUUGGUUUUCAAUGACAUGAAAACUUCAAAGUCAAAUUUUGUUUGAAAAAUUCUUCAUACGUAUCUUCAAACACAUCACUUGAGUUAGAAUGUAUGGCAAAGCAUUCUUCAAGACGUUUGACUAUAAUGUACAAAUUACUACUAGGUUUCCUGUUUUUGGAGGUUUCACCAAAGAGUACAUUGACAGCAUACGAUAAAGUUGGAGGAAAGUGGGUGCUGUUGGAUGGUCGUUGGGCCCAGAAACCUGUCUCAAAAUCCCAAAAAACUUCUAAAAUAAAUGAAAAUAGAUAUCCAUCUCCAAAAGAACUUAAUUUAUGAAAUCCAAUGAUGAACUGAUUUGUAUUACCUGGAAGAUAAUCAUAAUCUGCAUACCAUUUUAAUGGUAUGUCUGAUGAAAUGUAGCUGUCAGAACUGCAGUAACAAUGGUCAUUAUGUAUGUCUUCUAUAUUCUACACAAAUACAAAUUAUUAAAUGCAAUGUAUUGUAGUGUAUAUUAUAGUGUUAAAUUAAAAUAGUUAAUAAAACCUUUCUCUUUAACAAAUUUAGUUCUUUGUUUUUGUAAUCAUUGAUAUUGUUGACACAAGAAGUAGCUUCUAAAGUAUCCUAAAGAGUUCACAGUAUUUAUUUAUUAAUUCAACCAAGGCAACUAAAAUGUUGUAUGAAAAAAUAUGUAUUAUAGUAUAUUCACCGUUCCAAAUGUUUGUAACAAAUGUGUUGAUGGAAUAGCGCCUGCUCGCAAUUUAGGUCUUUUAAAACAAAUCUAUGAAAAACAGUUAUUAUUACUUGUAAUUAUCAGUGAUAGAGAUAAAUAAAAAAUGUAUGUGUAUUAUUUUUAACUGCGGUAAUUAACUACUAAUUUUAUAUAA